GGCGUCGGUAUCACAUCUUGGCAGACAUUUCUUUCGCCUUUUACUAAAGAAAUCUGAGAUUUGAUUCCAUUGUGACGCAUUCACAAUUUUUUUUUGCCUGCACCUGCGGGCA
Molecule: small nuclear RNA, 112 nt
Filed under: Micromonas commoda
Lineage: Eukaryota; Viridiplantae; Chlorophyta; Mamiellophyceae; Mamiellales; Mamiellaceae
Description: Micromonas sp. RCC299 U5 spliceosomal RNA
Rfam family: U5 spliceosomal RNA
About the family: U5 RNA is a component of both types of known spliceosome. The precise function of this molecule is unknown, though it is known that the 5' loop is required for splice site selection and p220 binding, and that both the 3' stem-loop and the Sm site are important for Sm protein binding and cap methylation.
Source: Rfam by way of RNAcentral